GAGGCUAUUGCUGCCUAAAUUAUUAACUAAAUAAAAUGUUAAAAGCAAUAACUUUUGAAUUUGUCAAGUAGUAAAAGCCACAUUGAAGUACAAAUGCUCCAUAAGAUUAACCAAAAACCGAAAUGAUUGCAAGGACGACAUCGUAGCUGGGAACUAAUUGAAGAUGCAUAUCAAUGUUUAAUGAAAACUGUUGUUGAAUGUGUAGGUAACAAAGGAUGAAGCCAGCGAACUUUCAUUUGCUUGAAGUAAAUUGCUGCUUCCUGCUUUGGCUGCAUAUAGAACAAAGGAAAAUGUUUCAAAUAUGUUAAAAGAGCUAAGGAGAAAGCAAAGCAUGCAUAGACGACAAAUAUGUUGGAAUGCCUCAUACCUGCGAUAAUCAUGAAUAAAGAUCAUCUUUAGUUUAUUAAACCCUGGCGUACAAAAGCCUCUUUGCGAAAGACAGGAGGAAUGUACUAUUUUGCCUUGAGAGCGUCGAUGUGUGAAGAGAAAACAAGGAAUUCUAUUGCACAACUUUAAUUCAUGAUUAAAGGAAAGUUUCUGUACUAAACACAGAGAACGGAUGGCCA
Glossina fuscipes is the source of this 566-nucleotide long non-coding RNA. RefSeq lists it as uncharacterized. NCBI's taxonomy places the organism in Eukaryota, Metazoa, Arthropoda, Insecta, Diptera, Glossinidae. The record is from RefSeq and is a predicted model, not a curated record. The transcript has 3 exons.